Molecule: long non-coding RNA, 2766 nt
Filed under: Nicotiana tabacum (common tobacco)
Lineage: Eukaryota; Viridiplantae; Streptophyta; Magnoliopsida; Solanales; Solanaceae
Description: long non-coding RNA (NTAB_LNC004311)
Source: RNAcentral
UUAUUUAUGAUUUUUCUAUUUAAUAACCGGAUUACGGUUCAAACUGCAUAUGACACACAUUUUUUUGUAUUUUGUUUCAAUAAUAAUAAAAAUGGACAAAAAUCAUAGAUAAUUAACAAAAUGCCACGUGAAAGAUCCGAAAAUUGUACAGCAAGACCGAUCGCUAUUAUUUUUGUUUCUUUUGGAGCGAUUGUCGCGUAAAACAAAAAUCACGUGCUCACAGGCCAAAAAGUCAUAACCCAGGCCCGCACUUUGGAACCCAACAAAACUCACAAAAUCUGAUAACUCAUUCAAUUACGAGUCCAACCAUACAAGUUUUACUCAAAUCUGACUUCAAAUCGAUAUUCAAAACUCAAAAAUUGACAUUAUGAAACUUUAGGCAAAACCCCCCAAUUUUCUCUUUAAAUUCACAAACCAAUUACCAAAAACGAAGAUGGAUUUACGAAAUAUAACCAAAAAUUAGUGAAAAUCGCCUCAAAAUAUGCCCGAUUCUGAACUUCCCAACUCAAAAUAUGUUAUAUGAAUAAAACCUUCAUUUUAAUACUGUUCUGCCUCGUUUCGUGUGUCAAAUAAUCUCCAAACUCGCUUUUGAUGCCUCCAUUGGGUUCCUUGUGAAAUUAUAGUCAAGUUAGUCUCUUGAAUCACUCCAUUUGACCUUGUAUUGAAAGAGAUAUGUUGGUUUCAUUAUUUAAAAAUAGUGCAGAUUUUUAAAUAUGAUGUCAGUUGCAAUUUUGUAAUUAAUCUGAAAAAUCUGGCAACCCAAUUCUUGGUAAAAUGAUCAUAAACUCCUCAUACGAUGUCCAAAUUUGACGAUUCUUUUUUAUAUGGCUCCGUAAUUACGAUACGGAUCUAAUGCUUCAAUAAAAGCAGAAAUUGGAGCUUAUUUGCUUAAUGUAGCACCAUUUAUGCUUGAAUAAACGACGUCGAAACAUUAAAAACGAGUGCAACACAACCCAAAUCUAUUUGAAACUCACCCAAGCCCCUCGGGACCCUAUCCGAACAUACCAACAAGUUCCAUAAACUAAUAGGGACCUACUCGAGGCCUCAAAUCACGCAUAUAAACAUCGAAAUGACGAAUCACACUCCAAAUCAAACUUAAUGAACUUUUCCAAACCAUCAAAUUCCAAUUUUCGCCAAUUAGUGCCGAAUCCUUCUAGAAAUAUCCAAUUGCAAAUCCGAAAAUACGACCGAAUCCAAAAUCACCAUCCAGAUCUAAUAAAACCAUCAAAACUCCAAUCUGAGAUGAAAUGCUAAAAAGUCCAACUUGGUCAGCUCUCCCAACUUAAAACUUCUAUCAUGCAGUUCAUUCUUUCAAAUCGAUACUGAACAACCUGAAAACCAAAAUCGAUGAUUCACAAAAGUCAUAAUACAUUAUGCGGAGAUAUUCGUGCCCUCAAAUUACCGAGCAAAGUUCAAAUGCUCAAAACGACUGGUCGGGUUGUUAUAGUGAAAGCUGAUCCAAAGAAACAACAUAGCUAAACGGGUAGCAUCAGUGAUACAACAAUUUUCAGCUUAACCAAUUUAGAAAACCCAGAGAAUCAGCAGCAGCUAAGUAUAACUUAGAAAAAAUAGUUUUAAUCUCUUUUUGUGACUGUUUUUGUUUUUCAAAUAUGGGAAAUUAAAAUUUCUAGAAGUUGAUAGGAGUAGAGUAUUUUGCAAAUGCGUGAGAAUGAAUCAAUCAGUUAGUGUGAAUGUGUUGGGUGUCCUUUUAUAACAGAAUUCACCAUUUUUUCUGUUGUUUCCUUUUCCUUCUAUUUUCGGUUUCUUACCUCCCAUCUUCUGUUUAUUACUCUAAAGUCUCUAACAAAGAUCCCUUUCCUCUUCUCUUUUGCUAAGUAGUCUUUAAGACCCCCUUUCUAGAAACUUCAUAAAUAAUUGACUCAAAAAAUUCUCUCAAAAUUUAUCCCUGAACUAACUCUUAAUCUUUCAGUGAUUUCUAGAGUUAACUCAACUGCCAAUAUGAAUUAAAAUUAACUACAACCUAAGAACAAUAACUAAUUACUAAUGAUAAAACAACAAAAGAAUUCGAACAGGCCAACUCAUGAUAUCAACUAAAUGGCUAAAGAUGAAAUCAAACUAACUGAAGAAUGCCCUUAAUUUCUAAUGCUAUUUGAUCAAAGAUUAAACAUGUGAUUGUUCAACUACGAAUCAAAGCAAACAACACUCAUAAAAAUGAAAACAAAAUGAAUGAAACAGAGGGAAACAGUACCUAUUAGAUUAACACAAGCGGCCAACAAAAAUUUUGGUGAGCCGGGGGAAUUAUUAAACUUGCACUAACCGAAAUUAUUUUACGCCGGCCAGUUCUAUAUGUAGAAAUACCUUUCGCUAGGUCGGAGGAGAUGAUGCAAGGUGAUGAGGGGAACUGGACGAUCAACCAGGGUUUGAUAGGAUUCUAGCAGCCACAAAAUGGGAUAAGACUAACACGAAUUGACAGCACUCAUCAAGAUACAUCGAUUGGUGUGAGUUUUAACUUCAUUCGGGCAAAGAUUAAAGAGAAAGAAAGGUGAAGUUUUAGGUUUUGGUCCGAUUCUAGAUCUACUAAAUGAAAAUAUUGGAAGGGAUUUCUGGAAAACUAAUAAUGGAUUUGAAAUGAGGAAAGGCUGGUGAUUGCAGGGUAAUGAUUUGGAGUUGUUUGGAGGUGGCCCCCCGACGUGAGAUGAUUUUCGGCGGGCGGUGGAGAGAGAUGGAGGGGAAAUGGGGGUUAGAGAGAGUCCUGUGGGGUGGGGUAGGCCGGGUUGGGACAGCUUUAUGUGGAUGGGAGAUCAU